Molecule: long non-coding RNA, 2026 nt
Organism: Choloepus didactylus (southern two-toed sloth)
Lineage: Eukaryota; Metazoa; Chordata; Mammalia; Pilosa; Megalonychidae
Exons: 3
Source: RefSeq, a predicted model, not a curated record
AGUCUUGGCAUAUGGUACCAGGAAACCGGUAACGAUAAAAUCUUUGUAACUGGACUCUCAUUUCCUAAUCAGGGUACCUGCAUCCUACUAGGCUGUCAACUGACAUCCAGAAUUGGAGUAGGACAGAGUGAUGUUGCAGUGAAAGAAGGGCUCAAGGAGUUUUAAUAAAUGUCGUUUAACAGCUUCUAUCAAAUCAAAAGGAUAGCCAAAUAAGCACUCUCUGAUGCCUUUGAGAAAGUUCCUCUGGCUUCUACCCCACCGUACAAAAUAUUUCUGCAAUAACUGUUUAUUUUAAUGUGAGCAAUUUUAAAAUCUCAGGGCUUCAGUUUUCCCUUUUGUAAAAUGCAGAUCUAUUAUGUCAAUUCUAAGGUUACUGCUUCAGAUGAGUAGGCCUUGUCUAUUGAUUUGUCAGUGUCUGUGCCCAGUCUUCCUGUACUUACUACUGACAUCUGUCAUUGCAGUAGUUGUGCAGUCAUCUUUCCUGGCUGCCAGUUGUCAUUAAUUUAAUUUCUGUAUAGAAUCUGUUAAUGCAUUUUUAGUUAAAAUGAACAAAGUGAAUGAGUUAAAUUGAAGAAGCCACAGCAGUCUGAGUAUGUGUUCAUAACUCAUGGUAUCUUACCUACCUCUAAGGAAACAGUAGAAUUUUAUCUGUGCAUAUAGACAUGGCCUUUUAUGAAAAUCUUACUACCUACAUACUCAAAAGCCCAAUAAUGGAAAGAACUAGCAAGAGUAAAAUUGAGAAUUGUCCAAAGGAUUUGCUUGACAUUUAUCAACUCCCUCUCGUGCAAUCUGGAGUGCUACUGCUGCUUCAACAAGGGAUGGCUUUCUUCUUUCCCAUUUCCCACAAAUGGUGCUAAGUGUAGAGAUUUAGAUCAAAUUCGUUUCUCUUUGGUUAUUUGGUAGACUUUUUCCCCUAAUAAAUACUUUUUUUGAAAGUACAGGAAUUAAAUGAGAUUAAUACAUGUGGAAGUACUUUAUAAACUGGAAAAUACUCAAUACAUUUCCCCAAAUUGUUCCAUGAACCACUAGUUUCCAAAACUUUUAGUGGUUUGAUAAGAAGGUUUUGGGUCAACUGAGCUUGAGAAACACUGGGUUAAAUAAAGUUAAUGUUUUUGUUUGUUUUUUAAAGCAGGACUUCUCAGGAGUCUUUCAUAAGGUAAAGGGCAUUGUUUUUCUCCAAGUGUUUUCCUUAUUUCUUUUACCAUAGAACCUUUUUUUCUUGGGACAUCUAAUGAGAUGAGUGUUGGGAGGAACACAGAAUAAGAGGUGAAUUUAAACCAUAUUGUCUGUUAUUCGAAUCUAGAGCCCAAGAUUUCUUUCUUUGGAACAUAGUCUUGAAAUUAUGUAAGAAGUUGACAUUUUCUGACACUAACAUAUUAUGCAACAUGAUAUAUAGUUGUCUCUAUUAUGAGAUAGUGACAAAUUUUUAAUUCACUGAAAAAAAGUAAAUAUUUGGAGCUAUAACAUUUCAUUAUAUUUAUUUUAAGUGUGUUCACAUAGAGAAAAAUAUUUUUACUUUUGUCAUUAUCUAAUUGAAAUACUCUAGCUUUAGAUAUAGUAAGGGCAUUUAUUGAAAGUCUUUCAUAUAUUUGUGAAAAGAUUCCUUUAUUGAAAAAGUCUUUCAUAUAUUUGUGAAAAGAUUCCUUAUUUAUAGUCUGGUGCUUAUUAUAUAUGGAAAAAAUGAUGUACUCUUUCAUUAUGGUGAAGUUCUGUUUAUUUUGAAAGAGAUCUACAGGAGAUAACUUGGGUAAAUGAUUUCAAUAUUGCAACUGAAGACUGCAUUUUUUAUAGGACAUCAUAUCCUUCCUGGCCAAAACUAUUCCAGCAUGAAGGCAUAACAUUCAGUGCCAGCAGAAUUUUCUUGGCUGGUGUGCAGGAGAGGAUGUUCCUCACCAUUGUAAGCUUUGUACCAGGAUGUCUGUGAAGUUUAUUCCAAAGUCUUCGUGUGUUUAUUUCAUUCACAGAGAUACAAGACCCUGUGUUGGUGUCUCUCCUGCCUGAUCUCCCUUCACCGGUGACCUCCGCU